Non-coding RNA from Ursus maritimus (polar bear), 73 nucleotides. The record is from Ensembl. Lineage: Eukaryota; Metazoa; Chordata; Mammalia; Carnivora; Ursidae.
UAGAUUGAAGCCAGUUGUUUGGGGUUUUUAGCUGUUAACUAAAAUUUUGUGGGACAAAAGCCCACCGAUCUAG